Molecule: long non-coding RNA, 307 nt
Filed under: Linum usitatissimum (flax)
Lineage: Eukaryota; Viridiplantae; Streptophyta; Magnoliopsida; Malpighiales; Linaceae
Description: long non-coding RNA (LUSI_LNC006232)
Source: RNAcentral
UUCACUAAAUAAUGUAAAACGGAAGUGUUCUCGUCACCCGGAGUAAUUUCAAUUACGUAUUACAUUAUCCCAUACUCCGCCGCCUUUCCCCAUCUCCGGAGUCCACGCAUCUUGGAUUCUCUUAGCUGCAGCUGCAAUAAAACGCGCCCCCAGUCCCGAACCACAACGCCCAAGCCAAUACCAUCUCCACCAAAAACACCCACAUCUGUAUUAAUCUUAAUCGCGCCCACUGGAGGCUUUCGCCAAAGAAGAGGGGACUCAUGACUAUAGGCUUGGCUUACCUUAGCAGGUGACUCAUGGAGCCUGC